Pelobates cultripes (western spadefoot toad) is the source of this 1537-nucleotide non-coding RNA. The record is from the annotation of a GenBank genome assembly. NCBI's taxonomy places the organism in Eukaryota, Metazoa, Chordata, Amphibia, Anura, Pelobatidae.
CGUUAAGGUUCAAGGUUCAAUGAAAUACAAGCAAACAUAACAUGUCGUGAAGUGGUUUGAGGUUUCGAGUUCUUGGCUGUGUAUAUGCAUUGUGACAUCUAUCCCCUGUGAGAAGGUGCAGUGGGAGUGCUUCGGCCUAAUAUAGUGUAUCCAUAUAUGUAGACACAGAUACGUGUGUGCUCAUAACGUACCACAUUACUUAUCACAUUCACAGCGGGCGAUACAGGUAUAUAUGUUGUAAGCAAAAAGAGAAGGGAAUAUACACCAAGCUAUAACAAGUUCAAAGAAUUAAUGUACAUGUGUGUAUUCUCAACGUGUGGCCACUCAGGAGUCAGGCAGCGCUCGUGUUCGUAGUCCGUGUGGUUUAGGUAAAGCGAACCUAACUUAUGUACAUUUGCCCCCCAAGGAAGCAUAGGUUAAGUCAUACAACACCAUGUCAUAGGAAAGGGGGCUAUUUGGUCUCGUGGUGAGGGUCUGCCGAUUCGAGUCAGGGAAAUCAGAGUGGUGAUGGUUUAUGGUCAGGGGUGCUGUCGAGUCUAGUCGGGCGUGUGUGCUACAGGGUCGGGGCUGGGACUUCUUCCGCAUCGUGGAUGCGUAUGAGAUAGGCUUCUGUGUGUGCAAUGGCGCUUAAGUAUCUUUUUCCGUUGUGAUUAUCAGCCCAUUCCUUGUCACUUCCCGACCCUAAUGCCCCCACCCAUUAUCUCCUCUUGUGAGUAACCAUAUCCCAAGAUCCAAGUUAGAAGCAGAGACCGACCAUUCCCCCGUGACCACCACCUGCAGCAGAGCUCGAGAGUUGUAUGGUAUAUUUCCCUAUCCCCAUGCCGUCUGAGAGUCCCCGUGCCGUAUGAUCGCAUCAAUAUUUGUGCCCUAUCGGGGGCGACUAACUCUGUUACAUGUACGUGUAGCGGUACCUAUCCGUCGAGUGAUACGGUGUAGGUCGCGUUCCAUUCAAGGAACAACCAGAGCAGUACCCUUCCCUAGUGAUGGGGUUAGCAAUCAGGUUCCAGGAUCCUUUAUCAAGCCAGAGUCCAGAGUCACUAUCUGUUGGUGUCAAUGUCUGUCAUAAUAUGUAUGUCGUCAUCUACCUGUCCUGUAUUCGUCCUGUCAGUCCCGAUCCCAGGCGGACCGGACCCCUGACGACUCAUUACAUAGAGGGAGAGGAGAAAGUUAAAAAGGGGGGGGGCAUUGUAACCUGAGCAGCACUUCCUCGAGCGUCCGCUUCCUGUCGGUGUUCGGCAAUAUAUAAGAACCACGGGGUCCACAUUUCAGCAUGCUUGGCUUCUCGGCCUGUGAUGAUGGCAUGGGCUUCUUCUGCCCCCUGGAUCUCUUCCACCCUGCGAAUCCAUUCCUGUUUAGUCGGUACCGCGGUCGACUUCCAAUGGGCCGGGAUGUUCGCUUUGGCGGCAUUAAGCAAGUGUCGUAAAAUCGACUUCUUGUACACCGAGAUGGGUUGAGUGGAGAUGUGUAACAAGGCCAAUUCCGCGGUCCAGUCCGGGACGUCUCCCAUGAUAAGCGUCACCGUGGUUUUGACCAUUUC